GUGCUUUUGCAUCUCCAAUUCGAGCAAUUGAAGUUGCUUAUAUAAGGGAUAGAUUCUAGGGUUUCGAAUUUUCGAUAUCGUUGAACAGAAAAGGAAUAUAAGUUAGAGAGGAUCAUGAUUAGGAAAGGUUAUUGGGAUUUGGGUGAAUCAAUAUCUUUCGAGAAGUUAAUGGUGAUAUAUUCUUCAGAAUAUCUCGAGGAGUAGACGAAAUCGAAAAGGGGAAGAAUUGAUAUACUUAGGGUAAGGGGCUAUUUGAGUCGGGUAUCCAUUAAC
Molecule: long non-coding RNA, 273 nt
Filed under: Brassica napus (rape)
Lineage: Eukaryota; Viridiplantae; Streptophyta; Magnoliopsida; Brassicales; Brassicaceae
Description: long non-coding RNA (BNAP_LNC024520)
Source: RNAcentral